AUCAAUGAGAGAGAAACAAAGGUACAUGCCCUUGACCGGAAUCGAACCUGCGACCCCUCAGUCCCCAGGCCGACUCUCUAUCCACUGAGCCAAACCAGUUAGGCCGAGAGGCCCUUCUUCCUACUGCUUGAUUCACUGUGACUACCGUCCUUCCUUCCUUAAUGUGGGUGUCUGUGGCCUGAAGCCAUAUUCGGCAGAUGCUAGAAGAACGCGUCUGGAAGGCCGCCUGCCUUUCCCCGCUUCUCCUCGAUCGGAAUGGAAGAAAGAAUUCAGAAUGGAUGAGGAUCAGGCUAACCUACGCCAGAAGGCUUCAUCCAUCCAGCUUCUGCCCGAGAGAGGGCCAGGAACCGGAUUCCGGGAGACUGCCUGUCCAGUUCUGCUCCAGAAAUAGGAAAUAAACUAUUUUAAUUUG
This is a long non-coding RNA of Eptesicus fuscus (big brown bat), 412 nucleotides long. RefSeq lists it as uncharacterized. NCBI's taxonomy places the organism in Eukaryota, Metazoa, Chordata, Mammalia, Chiroptera, Vespertilionidae. The transcript is spliced from 3 exons. The record is from RefSeq and is a predicted model, not a curated record.